Molecule: ribosomal RNA, 439 nt
Filed under: uncultured bacterium
Lineage: Bacteria
Description: partial 16S ribosomal RNA
Rfam family: Bacterial small subunit ribosomal RNA
Source: RNAcentral
CUACGGGAGGCACCAGUGGGGAAUAUUGCACAAUGGAGGAAACUCUGAUGCAGCAACGCCGCGUGGAGGAUGACACUUUUCGGAGCGUAAACUCCUUUUAUAUAGGAAGAAGAUGACGGUACUAUAUGAAUAAGCGCCGGCUAACUCCGUGCCAGCAGCCACGGUAAUACGGAGGGCACAAGCGUUACUCGGAAUCACUGGGCGUAAAGAGCGUGUAGGCGGAUUAAAAAGUCAGAAGUGAAAUCCCAUAGCUUAACUAUAGAACUGCUUCUGAAACUCUUAAUCUAGAAUAUGGGAGAGGUAGAUGGAAUUUCUGGUGUAGGGGUAAAAUCCGUAGAGAUCAGAAGGAAUACCGAUUGCGAAGGCGAUCUACUAGAACAUUAUUGACGCUGAGACGCGAAAGCGUGGGGAGCAAACAGGAUUAGAUACCCGCGUAGUC